This 200-nucleotide ribosomal RNA is filed under the name uncultured bacterium. RNAcentral's name for it is "partial 16S ribosomal RNA". It matches the Rfam family "Bacterial small subunit ribosomal RNA", at positions 29 to 258 of the family's 1533-position model. The record is from RNAcentral.
AACGAACGCUGGCGGCAGGCUUAACACAUGCAAGUCGAACGCUCCGCAAGGAGAGUGGCAGACGGGUGAGUAACGCGUGGGAAUCUACCCAUCUCUACGGAAUAACGCAUGGAAACGUGUGCUAAUACCGUAUACGCCCUUAGGGGGAAAGAUUUAUCGGAGAUGGAUGAGCCCGCGUUGGAUUAGCUAGUUGGUGGGGU